Molecule: ribosomal RNA, 474 nt
Filed under: uncultured bacterium
Lineage: Bacteria
Description: bacterial SSU rRNA
Rfam family: Bacterial small subunit ribosomal RNA
Source: RNAcentral
GAUGAACGCUGGCGGCGUGCCUCAAACAUGCAAGUCGAGCGAGGCUAUGAAUUACCGCAAGGUAAGGCAUAGCCUAGCGGCGAACGGGUGAGUAACACGUGGGUAACCUACCUGGAAGACAGGGAUAACGAUUCGAAAGGGUCGCUAAUACCUGAUAAUAUCCAUCUGCCGGAUGGCGGAGGGAAGAAAGGGGAAACCCGCUUUCAGAUGGGCCCGCGUCCCAUCAGCUAGUUGGUAAGGUAAAGGCUUACCAAGGCGACGACGGGUAGCCGGUCUGAGAGGAUGUACGGCCACACUGGGACUGAGAUACGGCCCAGACUCCUACGGGAGGCAGCAGUUGGGAAUCUUAGGCAAUGGACGAAAGUCUGACCUAGCGACGCCGCGUGAGGGAAGAAGGCCUUCGGGUUGUAAACCUCUGUCAUGGGGGAAGAAGGAAGUGACGGUACCCAAGAGGAAGCCCCUGCUAACUACGUG